AUAUAUAACCAUAUUACCCUGCAGCCCAAGACUGGUUGCCCACUGAAGCUAAGCAGGGCUGAGCCUGGUCAGUACCUGGAUGGGAGACCUCUUGGGAAAACUAGGUUGCUGUUGGAA
RNAcentral lists this ribosomal RNA (117 nucleotides) under Sinocyclocheilus anshuiensis. Lineage: Eukaryota; Metazoa; Chordata; Actinopteri; Cypriniformes; Cyprinidae. The record is from RNAcentral.